RNAcentral lists this ribosomal RNA (304 nucleotides) under uncultured bacterium. RNAcentral describes it as "partial 16S ribosomal RNA". It matches the Rfam family "Bacterial small subunit ribosomal RNA", at positions 506 to 808 of the family's 1533-position model. The record is from RNAcentral.
CAGCAGCAGCCGCGGUAAUACGUAGGUCCCGAGCGUUGUCCGGAUUUAUUGGGCGUAAAGCGAGCGCAGGCGGUUAGAUAAGUCUGAAGUUAAAGGCUGUGGCUUAACCAUAGUACGCUUUGGAAACUGUUUAACUUGAGUGCAAGAGGGGAGAGUGGAAUUCCAUGUGUAGCGGUGAAAUGCGUAGAUAUAUGGAGGAACACCGGUGGCGAAAGCGGCUCUCUGGCUUGUAACUGACGCUGAGGCUCGAAAGCGUGGGGAGCAAACAGGAUUAGAUACCCGCGUAGUCCCUGUCUCUUAUACA